AUUGAACGCUGGCGGUAUGCUUUACACAUGCAAGUCGAACGGUAACACGGCUACAGCUUCUUACUACGGGCGGAGAGUGGCGGAAUGCUGCGGAAUACAUCGAAAUGUACGUUUUAAUGCGGGGAAACGUAGGGUAAUACACCCUGAUACCGCAUAAGGAAUACGGGUGACAGCACGGCAACUUUGGACCUCGCGCCAUUGAAUCAGCCGAUGUCGGAUUAGCUAGUUGGCGGGGUAAAGGCCCACCAAGGCGACGAUCCGUAGCUGGUCUGAGAGGAUGAUCAGCCACACUGGAACUGAGACACGGUCCAGACUCCUACGGGAGGCAGCAGUGGGGAAUUUUGGACAAUGGGCGCAAGCCUGAUCCAGCCAUGCCGCGUGGGUGAAGAAGGCCUUCGGGUUGUAAAGCGCUUUUGGUAGGAAAGAAAAGCUGCAGGUUAAUACCCCGCGCUAAUGACGGUACCUAAAGAAUAAGCACCGGCUAACUUCGUG
This 492-nucleotide ribosomal RNA is filed under the name uncultured bacterium. Its description in RNAcentral is "partial 16S ribosomal RNA". It matches the Rfam family "Bacterial small subunit ribosomal RNA", at positions 30 to 507 of the family's 1533-position model. The record is from RNAcentral.